RNAcentral lists this ribosomal RNA (468 nucleotides) under uncultured bacterium. RNAcentral describes it as "partial 16S ribosomal RNA". It matches the Rfam family "Bacterial small subunit ribosomal RNA", at positions 28 to 507 of the family's 1533-position model. The record is from RNAcentral.
GACGAACGCUGGCGGCGUGCUUAACACAUGCAAGUCGAACGGAAAGGCCCUGCUUUUGUGGGGUGCUCGAGUGGCGAACGGGUGCGUAACACGUGAGUAACCUGCCCUUGACUUUGGGAUAACUUCAGGAAACUGGGGCUAAUACCGGAUAGGAGCUCCUGCUGCAUGGUGGGGGUUGGAAAGUUUCGGCGGUUGGGGAUGGACUCGCGGCUUAUCAGCUUGUUGGUGGGGUAGUGGCUUACCAAGGCUUUGACGGGUAGCCGGCCUGAGAGGGUGACCGGCCACAUUGGGACUGAGAUACGGCCCAGACUCCUACGGGAGGCAGCAGUAGGGAAUAUUGCACAAUGGGCGGAAGCCUGAUGCAGCAACGCCGCGUGCGGGAUGACGGCCUUCGGGUUGUAAACCGCUUUCGCCUGUGACGAAGCGUGAGUGACGGUAAUGGGUAAAGAAGCACCGGCUAACUACGUG